Molecule: ribosomal RNA, 394 nt
Filed under: uncultured Synechococcus sp.
Lineage: Bacteria; Bacillati; Cyanobacteriota; Cyanophyceae; Synechococcales; Synechococcaceae
Description: bacterial SSU rRNA
Rfam family: Bacterial small subunit ribosomal RNA
Source: RNAcentral
AGCAGUGGGGAAUUUUCCGCAAUGGGCGAAAGCCUGACGGAGCAACGCCGCGUGAGGGAUGAAGGCCUCUGGGCUGUAAACCUCUUUUCUCAAGGAAGAAGACAUGACGGUACUUGAGGAAUAAGCCACGGCUAAUUCCGUGCCAGCAGCCGCGGUAAUACGGGAGUGGCAAGCGUUAUCCGGAAUUAUUGGGCGUAAAGCGUCCGCAGGCGGCCUUGUAAGUCUGUCGUUAAAGCGUGGAGCUUAACUCCAUUUGAGCGAUGGAAACUACAAGGCUUGAGUGUGGUAGGGGCAGAGGGAAUUCCCGGUGUAGCGGUGAAAUGCGUAGAUAUCGGGAAGAACACCAGUGGCGAAGGCGCUCUGCUGGGCCAUAACUGACGCUCAUGGACGAAAG